This 253-nucleotide ribosomal RNA is filed under the name uncultured bacterium. RNAcentral describes it as "partial 16S ribosomal RNA". It matches the Rfam family "Bacterial small subunit ribosomal RNA", at positions 524 to 776 of the family's 1533-position model. The record is from RNAcentral.
UACAUGGGGUGCAAACGUUGCUCGGAAUUACUGGGCGUAAAGCGUGCGCAGGCGGUUCGUUAUGUCCGUUGUGAAAGCCCCGGGCUCAACCUGGGAAUGGCAAUGGAAACUGGCGGGCUAGAGUGUGGCAGAGGGGGGUGGAAUUCCGCGUGUAGCAGUGAAAUGCGUAGAGAUGCGGAGGAACACCGAUGGCGAAGGCAGCCCCCUGGGCUAGCACUGACGCUCAGGCACGAAAGCGUGGGGAGCAAACAGG